This 461-nucleotide ribosomal RNA is filed under the name uncultured bacterium. RNAcentral's name for it is "partial 16S ribosomal RNA". It matches the Rfam family "Bacterial small subunit ribosomal RNA", at positions 338 to 795 of the family's 1533-position model. The record is from RNAcentral.
CCUACGGGAGGCAGCAGUGAGGAAUAUUGGUCAAUGGGCGCGAGCCUGAACCAGCCAAGUAGCGUGAAGGAUGACUGCCCUACGGGUUGUAAACUUCUUUUAUAAAGGAAUAAAGUGAGGCACGUGUGCCUUUUUGUGUGUACUUUAUGAAUAAGGAUCGGCUAACUCCGUGCCAGCAGCCGCGGUAAUACGGGGGAUGCAAGCGUUAUCCGGAUUUAUUGGGUUUAAAGGGUGCGUAGGCGGGGAGUUAAGUCAGCGGUGAAAGGCCCCGGCUCAACGGGGUGAAGGGCCGUUGAUACUGGCUGGCUGGAAAGCGGAUGAGGUGGGAGGAAUGUGUGGUGUAGCGGUGAAAUGCAUAGAUAUCACGCAGAACACCGAUUGCGAAGGCAUCUCACGGGCCCGCGAUUGACGCUGAGGCACGAAAGCGUGGGUAUCAAACAGGAUUAGAUACCCUGGUAGUC